Molecule: ribosomal RNA, 245 nt
Filed under: uncultured bacterium
Lineage: Bacteria
Description: partial 16S ribosomal RNA
Rfam family: Bacterial small subunit ribosomal RNA
Source: RNAcentral
CCGGACCGGCGCACGGGUGAGUAACGCGUAUGCAACUUACCUAUCAGAGGGGGAUAACCCGGCGAAAGUCGGACUAAUACCGCAUGAAGCAGGGGCCCCGCAUGGGGAUAUUUGCUAAAGAUUCAUCGCUGAUAGAUAGGCAUGCGUUCCAUUAGGCAGUUGGCGGGGUAACGGCCCACCAAACCGACGAUGGAUAGGGGUUCUGAGAGGAAGGUCCCCCACAUUGGUACUGAGACACGGACCAA